Molecule: long non-coding RNA, 269 nt
Filed under: Setaria viridis
Lineage: Eukaryota; Viridiplantae; Streptophyta; Magnoliopsida; Poales; Poaceae
Description: long non-coding RNA (SVIR_LNC004263)
Source: RNAcentral
AGGAACUGACCCUACCAAGAUGACCGCUACCAAGAUCAUUCCAUGAUAAGGUUUCUUAACACAGGAAGAGUACUCAACUCAAGGCUAACCAAUUACAUCACCAUCCAAAAAUUAUAGGUUGCCGAGGAGUACAACAAAAGACCAACCUACUACAGCCACAAACUAAAAGUCAUCUAGGUUGCCUUCAGAGGAAACACUAUUCGUCAAAGAAGGGGCGUCACCAACUUUGACGUCCAUGCUAGAGACUCCCUCUAUCUCCUCGGGCUCCU